UCCCAGGAGCCCCAUCCUGAACUUGGAAGGUGUAGCCUUCAGAGGUAGUUUCCAGCACAACGUUUUGAUCUUCCUCUUCCUGGAAAUAUACUAAAAAAUAAAUAUAAAAAGAAUAUAAUUAUUCUAAGCAGCAGCCUAUCUAGAAGUCUGUAUUCAAUCUCUAGGUCUUGAUCUGCAUAUUAUACCUUUAAUCCUGUAUGAUAUUCUAGUAUUUGACAUAGGGGAGGGAGGGUCUCUGAAACUUUGCCAAUUCAUGAGUGAAUGCUACUACAGUAACAGAAACAGGUCGAGAUUUUUUUCUUCCCCAACUGUCACUUUUCAAUAGGAAAAGACUGUAUUAGGCCCAGAGCAUGGCGGUGGGUUUGGCCUCCUUCUCUAUCACCUUCUACAAUGACACCCACUAACUUACCCUCCAGAUAGUCUAAGAUGCUCAAGGCUGUCCAUUUGAAACUAAUCUGGUGACUUUUAAAAUCUCACCUCAAUGCCAAGACCAAGGUUCGAGGGCUUAUUGAGAUCAUCUCCAAUGCAGCAGGGUACGAGAACAUUCCCAUCCGGCACCAUGAAGACAACUUCCUGAGGCAGUUGGCUCAGAAGGUCCCCCACAAGCUGAAUAACCCUAAGUUCAAUGAUCCACACAUCAAGGCCAACCUGCUCCUGCAGGCUCGCCUGUCCCGCAUGCAGCUGAGUGCUGAGUUGCAGUCACAUACGGAGGAAAUCCUUAGUAAGGCAAUCCGGCUUAUCCAGGCCUGCGUGGAUGUCCUCUCCCGCAAUGGGUGGCUCAGCUCUGCUGCGGCAGCUAUGCAACUGGCCCAGAGGGUCACUCAAGCCUUGUGGUCCCAGGACUCAUACCUGAAGCAGCUGCCACACUUCACCUCUGAGCAUAUCAAACGUUGCACAGACAAGGGAGUGGAGAGUGUUUUCGACAUCCUGGAGAUGGAGGAUGAAGAAUGGAACGCAUUGCUUCAGCUGACUGACAACCAGAUUACAGAUGUGGCUCGCUUUUGUAACCGCUACCCUAAUAUCGAACUAUCUUAUGAGGUGGUAGAUAAGGACAGCAUCCGCAGUGGCAGGCCAGUGGUGGUGCUGGUGCAGGUGCAGCGAGAGGAGGAAGUCACAGGCCCUGUCGUUGUGCCUCUCUUCCCGCAGAAACAUGAAGAGGGCUGGUGGGUGGUGACUGGAGAUGCCACGUCCAGUAGCCUCAUCUCCAUCAAGAGGCUGACGCUGAGGCAGAAGGCCAAGGUGAAGUUGGACUUUGUGGCCCCAGCCACUGGUGCCCACAACGACACUCCAUAUUUCAUGAGUGACACUUACAUGGGAUGUGACCAGGAGUACAAAUUCAGUGUGGAUGUGACAGAAGCCGAGACGGACAGUGAUUCAGACUGAGUCCUGAGGCAUUUACUCUUGGGUAAAGGAGAGUUGAGCCUGAAUUAGGAAUGUGUACAUUGUACGGAUCCUGGUGGUUAUGGGGACCAGGUCUGUGGGCCCGAUGUCUGGCCAGCCAGGGCUAGUGCUGUCCCCGCCCACCUCCACUUCCUUUUCCCUUGUUCACACUCUGGAUCCCGUGACAGCAGGGGUCAUGGGUCAAGCAUAAAUCAUAUAUAGCAUUUUCAGGCAUGUUACUGGUAGUUCCUUUUGAGUCUGACAUUCUAAUAAAAUAAUUUGUAGAAACCAAAAAA
This is an RNA transcript of Mandrillus leucophaeus (drill), 1676 nucleotides long. It is a transcript of the gene named U5 small nuclear ribonucleoprotein 200 kDa helicase pseudogene, with no coding region annotated. The record is from RefSeq and is a predicted model, not a curated record. The transcript is spliced from 2 exons. Lineage: Eukaryota; Metazoa; Chordata; Mammalia; Primates; Cercopithecidae.